AGUCAAAUCCCAAGAAGUUGCCUUCAAGUUCCAGUCCAUAAAAUCUGCCACUUAAGGGAGUUCCACAGAGUUAUCUUUCUAUUGCUCCACACCGCCCCGUCCCCAGUUAGUGAAAUUUCUCUUUCACUGUUCACCACCCUUGCAUAUAUACAGAGUUUUUUUAAGCCAAGGAAACAAAUCAAGCCACAGACAGAUACAAAAUUACACAGGGUUUAAUCAAGUAAACCUCAGCCACAAGUAAAGACCAGCAAUUUAAACCUGACAAGCAAAGAACAACAUAGUUGAAUGUAACUAAGCCCUUCUGUCAUAACCCCAUUUUACAUACCACAGAUAACAAUUUAAUCCUCGUAUUUGCGUUGGUAGCUUUAAAAAAACUGUCAGAUUUCAAGAAAACAAAAUUAUAAGCUUUAAUUUAUUAUGUAAAUCAGAAAAGUUCAGGAAAAAGGCAAGAAAUGAAACAAUGAGCAUCUCAAAAUGGUAUUCUCUGCUCAACCAAGUUAAAUAAAAAAAAAAGGGGGAUUUCCUUUUUGUUUAACGAGUGCAGCAAUACAGUUUGCAGAGAUAUGCUUCCAAGAAGAAUGGAAGCUUCAAAAAUGAAAGCUACCAAGUACUAACUACAAAUAAAUAAAUAGUACAAAAUCAGUAAAGAACGAAAGAGGUGGGAGAGUAUUACAGAGACACGUUCACUUGAAGAAGACCUGGUUUGAUCUUUCCACCCGCCCAUUCAAUUCAAUGACAAUGAUUCCACUUAGAACCAACAAAAGUGAUUGGACGUCAAAGGAAAAAAUAAAAAAGAUACAUCAAACUAUGAGAAACCACUG
Molecule: long non-coding RNA, 821 nt
Filed under: Populus trichocarpa (black cottonwood)
Lineage: Eukaryota; Viridiplantae; Streptophyta; Magnoliopsida; Malpighiales; Salicaceae
Description: long non-coding RNA (PTRI_LNC002942)
Source: RNAcentral